UACGGAGGGUGCAAACGUUGCUCGGAAUCAUUGGGCGUAAAGCGCACGUAGGCGGUUCUGCAAGUCGGGUGUGAAAUCCCUCGGCUUAACCAAGGAAGUGCAUUCGAAACUGCAGGACUUGAGUACUGGAGAGGGUCGCGGAAUUCUCGGUGUAGAGGUGAAAUUCGUAGAUAUCGGGAGGAACACCAGUGGCGAAGGCGGCGACCUGGUCAGAUACUGACGCUGAGGUGCGAAAGCGUGGGGAGCAAACAGG
RNAcentral lists this ribosomal RNA (253 nucleotides) under uncultured bacterium. RNAcentral describes it as "partial 16S ribosomal RNA". It matches the Rfam family "Bacterial small subunit ribosomal RNA", at positions 524 to 776 of the family's 1533-position model. The record is from RNAcentral.